AACGCACAUUGCGCCCGUUAGUACUCUAGCGGGCAUGCCUGUUCGAGCGUCAUUUCAACCCUCAAGCUCUGCUUGGUGUUGGGGCUUCUACGGUUACCGUAGGCCCUGAAAGACAGUGGCAGGCUCACUAUAACUCCGAGCGUAGUAAUACACAUCGCUUAGGGCGUUUUAGUGGGAUCUAGCCUCCUCUAUUUUUUUUCUAAUGGUUGACCUCGGAUCAGGUAGGAAUACCCGCUGAACUUAA
This 244-nucleotide unclassified non-coding RNA is filed under the name uncultured fungus. RNAcentral describes it as "sequence contains ITS2". Lineage: Eukaryota; Fungi. The record is from RNAcentral.